GUGUCAGCAGCCGCGGUAAGACGUAGGGGGCGAGCGUUGUCCGGAAUUACUGGGCGUAAAGAGCACGUAGGCGGGAACUUAAGUCAGGUGUGAAAGACCGAGGCUCAACCUCGGGGUGGCACUUGAAACUGGGUUUCUUGAGGGCAGGAGAGGAAAGUAGAAUUCCUGGUGUAGCGGUGAAAUGCGUAGAAAUCAGGAGGAAUACCAGUGGCGAAGGCGACUUUCUGGACUGACCCUGACGCUGAGGUGCGAAAGCGUGGGUAGCAAACAGGAUUAGAUACCCGCGUAGUCC
RNAcentral lists this ribosomal RNA (292 nucleotides) under uncultured bacterium. Its description in RNAcentral is "partial 16S ribosomal RNA". It matches the Rfam family "Bacterial small subunit ribosomal RNA", at positions 505 to 796 of the family's 1533-position model. The record is from RNAcentral.